AAUAUAGUGCCUGACAAAAAGGGCAGCUUUGAUAGAGCUGAUCAUGUAUCUACCGUACCUAUAUUA
RNAcentral lists this transfer RNA (66 nucleotides) under Matuta planipes. Its description in RNAcentral is "tRNA-Ile". The record is from RNAcentral. Lineage: Eukaryota; Metazoa; Arthropoda; Malacostraca; Decapoda; Matutidae.